RNAcentral lists this ribosomal RNA (815 nucleotides) under uncultured organism. Its description in RNAcentral is "bacterial SSU rRNA". It matches the Rfam family "Bacterial small subunit ribosomal RNA", at positions 497 to 1326 of the family's 1533-position model. The record is from RNAcentral.
CUAACUACGUGCCAGCAGCCGCGGUAAGACGUAGGACGCAAGCGUUAUCCGGAUUUACUGGGCGUAAAGCGUCUGUAGGCGGUUGGGUAAGUUGGGCGUGAAAGCUCCGUGCUCAACGCGGAGAGGUCGUUCAAUACUGCCGAACUAGAGGACAUCAGAGGAGCAUGGAAUUUCCGGUGUAGCGGUAAAAUGCGCAGAUAUCGGAAGGAACACCAGUGGCGAAGGCGGUGCUCUGGGGUGUGCCUGACGCUGAGAGACGAAAGCUAGGGGAGCGAACAGGAUUAGAGACCCUGGUAGUCCUAGCCCUAAACGAUGGAUGCUAGAUGUGGGGCCGAGAAGGCUCCGUGUCGCAGUUAACGCGGUAAGCAUCCCGCCUGGGGAUUACGGCCGCAAGGCUAAAACUCAAACGAAUUGACGGGGCCCCGCACAAGCAGCGGAGCGUGUGGUUUAAUUCGAUGCUACACGAAGAACCUUACCUGGGUUUGACAUGUAAGUGGUAGUGAAGCGAAAGCGGAGCGACCCUUCGGGGAGCUUACACAGGUGCUGCAUGGCUGUCGUCAGCUCGUGCCGUGAGGUGUCGGGUUAAGUCCCGUAACGAGCGCAACCCUUGCCCUUAGUUACAAGUGUCUAAGGGGACUGCCGGCGGUAAGCCGGAGGAAGGUGGGGAUGACGUCAAGUCAGCAUAGCCCUUAUAUCCAGGGCUACACACACGCUACAAUGGUCAGUACAAAGGGCAGCGAAGCCGCGAGGUGAAGCGAAUCCCACCAAAGCUGAUCUAAGUUCGGAUUGCAGGCUGCAACUCGCCUGCAUGAAGC